AUGCCGAGUCAGGCGACAAAAUUAAAUCAUGGCUAUGAAGGAGGUAUCACCAUUUUCACUAAUUUGGCUAAGUCAACAAAUCGACUUGUUGCUGAAGAAGCUGCUGGUGGCCUUUGGAAUCUCUCCGUUGGUGAGGAGCACAAGGCGGCUAUUGCGGCAGCUGGUGGUAUAAAGGCUUUGGUUGAUCUUAUAUUUUGUUGGCCUGCUGGGACUGAUGGAGUUCUUGAACGUGCUUCUGGUGUGCUUGCAAACCUAGCUGCUGAUGACAAGUGCAGCCUGGAAGUCGCAAAGGCUGGUGGUGUCCAUGCUUUGGUUACACUUGCUCGAUCAUGUAAACUUGAGGGCGUCCUAGAACAGGCGGCAAGGGCUCUAGCCAACUUAGCUGCACAUGGAGAUAACAACAACAAUAAUGCGGCUGUAUGUCAGGAAGCAGGGGCUCUUGAGGCAUUAGUGCAACUAACAUGUUCUCAAAACGAGGGUGUAAGGCAAGAGGCUGCUGGUGCUUUGUGGAACCUAUCAUUUGAUGAUGGGAAUCGUGAAGUUAUUGCUGCUGCGGGGGGUGUUGAAGCAUUGGUUUCACUUGCACAACAAUGUCUGAAUGCUUUGGAAGGCCUUCAGGAGAGAGCUGCUGGCGCAUUAUGGGGACUAUCUGCCUCAGAAUCGAACAGGUAG
RNAcentral lists this ribosomal RNA (672 nucleotides) under Triticum aestivum (bread wheat). RNAcentral describes it as "partial small subunit ribosomal RNA". The record is from RNAcentral. Lineage: Eukaryota; Viridiplantae; Streptophyta; Magnoliopsida; Poales; Poaceae.